RNAcentral lists this transfer RNA (64 nucleotides) under Osmia pedicornis. RNAcentral's name for it is "tRNA-Arg". The record is from RNAcentral. RNAcentral also lists the same sequence under 1 other name. Lineage: Eukaryota; Metazoa; Arthropoda; Insecta; Hymenoptera; Megachilidae.
AUAUAUGAAGUAAUUUUUACAAUUAAUUUCGACUUAAUAUUAGAUUUUUUAUAAUCCAUAUAUU